This 72-nucleotide transfer RNA is filed under the name Kyphosus bigibbus (brown chub). RNAcentral describes it as "tRNA-Thr". It matches the Rfam family "tRNA". Rfam says of the family: Transfer RNA (tRNA) molecules are approximately 80 nucleotides in length. The record is from RNAcentral. Lineage: Eukaryota; Metazoa; Chordata; Actinopteri; Centrarchiformes; Kyphosidae.
GCACUAGUAGCUCAAUUUCAGAGCGCCGGUCUUGUAAGCCGGAUGCCGGAGGUUAAAAUCCUCCCUACUGCU